UGCCCUAGUAACGGCGAGUGAAGCGGCAACAGCUCAAAUUUGAAAUCUGGCUUCGGCCCGAGUUGUAAUUUGUAGAGGAUGCUUUUGGCGCGGUGCCUUCUGAGUUCCCUGGAACGGGACGCCAUAGAGGGUGAGAGCCCCGUAUAGUUGGACACCAAGCCUUUGUAAAGCUCCUUCGACGAGUCGAGUAGUUUGGGAAUGCUGCUCAAAAUGGGAGGUAAAUUUCUUCUAAAGCUAAAUACCGGCCAGAGACCGAUAGCGCACAAGUAGAGUGAUCGAAAGAUGAAAAGCACUUUGAAAAGAGGGUUAAAUAGCACGUGAAAUUGUUGAAAGGGAAGCGCUUAUGACCAGACUUGUUCCCGGUUGAUCAUCCAGUGUUCUCACUGGUGCACUCUGCCGGGGUCAGGCCAGCGUCGGUUCUCGCAGGGGGAUAAAAGCUUCGGGAACGUGGCUCCUCCGGGAGUGUUAUAGCCCGUUGCACAAUACCCUUGUGGGGACCGAGGUUCGCGCUCUGCAAGGACGCUGGCGUAAUGGUCAUCAGCGACCCGUCUUGAAACACGGACCAAGGAGUCGAGGUUUUGCGCGAGUGUUUGGGUGUAAAACCCGCACGCGUAAUGAAAGUGAACGUAGGUGAGAGCUUCGGCGCAUCAUCGACCGAUCCUGAUGUAUUCGGAUGGAUUUGAGUAAGAGCGUAUAGCCUCGGACCCGAAAGAUGGUGAACUAUGCCUGUAUAGGGUGAAGCCAGAGGAAACUCUGGUGGAGGCUCGCAGCGGUUCUGACGUGCAAAUCGAUCGUCAAAUAUGGGCAUGGGGCGAAAGACUAAUCGACC
This 829-nucleotide ribosomal RNA is filed under the name Cordana terrestris. Its description in RNAcentral is "eukaryotic LSU rRNA". It matches the Rfam family "Eukaryotic large subunit ribosomal RNA", at positions 76 to 941 of the family's 3401-position model. Lineage: Eukaryota; Fungi; Ascomycota; Sordariomycetes; Coniochaetales; Cordanaceae. The record is from RNAcentral.